Molecule: ribosomal RNA, 508 nt
Filed under: uncultured bacterium
Lineage: Bacteria
Description: partial 16S ribosomal RNA
Rfam family: Bacterial small subunit ribosomal RNA
Source: RNAcentral
GACGAACGCUGGCGGCGUGCCUAAUACAUGCAAGUCGAACGCUUCUUUCCUCCCGAGUGCUUGCACUCAAUUGGAAAGAGGAGUGGCGGACGGGUGAGUAACACGUGGGUAACCUACCCAUCAGAGGGGGAUAACACUUGGAAACAGGUGCUAAUACCGCAUAACAGUUUAUGCCGCAUGGCAUAAGAGUGAAAGGCGCUUUCGGGUGUCGCUGAUGGAUGGACCCGCGGUGCAUUAGCUAGUUGGUGAGGUAACGGCUCACCAAGGCCACGAUGCAUAGCCGACCUGAGAGGGUGAUCGGCCACACUGGGACUGAGACACGGCCCAGACUCCUACGGGAGGCAGCAGUAGGGAAUCUUCGGUAAUGGACGAAAGUCUGACCGAGCAACGCCGCGUGAGUGAAGAAGGUUUUCGGAUCGUAAAACUCUGUUGUUAGAGAAGAACAAGGACGUUAGUAACUGAACGUCCCCUGACGGUAUCUAACCAGAAAGCCACGGCUAACUACGUG